UACGUAGGUCCCGAGCGUUGUCCGGAUUUAUUGGGCGUAAAGCGAGCGCAGGUGGUUUAUUAAGUCUGGUGUAAAAGGCAGUGGCACAACCAUUGUAUGCAUUGGAAACUGGUGGACUUGAGUGCAGGAGAGGAGAGUCGAAUUCCAUGUGUAGCGGUGAAAUGCGUAGAUAUAUGGAGGAACACCGGUGGCGAAAGCGGCUCUCUGGCCUGUAACUGACACUGAGGCUCGAAAGCGUGGGGAGCAAACAGG
RNAcentral lists this ribosomal RNA (252 nucleotides) under uncultured bacterium. RNAcentral's name for it is "partial 16S ribosomal RNA". It matches the Rfam family "Bacterial small subunit ribosomal RNA", at positions 524 to 776 of the family's 1533-position model. The record is from RNAcentral.